This 394-nucleotide ribosomal RNA is filed under the name uncultured bacterium. RNAcentral describes it as "partial 16S ribosomal RNA". It matches the Rfam family "Bacterial small subunit ribosomal RNA", at positions 523 to 918 of the family's 1533-position model. The record is from RNAcentral.
AUACGGAGGAUGCAAGCGUUAUCCGGAUUUAUUGGGUUUAAAGGGUGCGUAGGCGGAUGAUUAAGCGUGAGGUGAAAUGCCACUGCUCCACAGUGGAACUGCCUCGCGAACUGGUUGUCUUGAAUGCUCCUGCCGUGGGAGGAAUGUGUGGUGUAGCGGUGAAAUGCAUAGAGAUCACACAGAACACCGAUUGCGAAGGCAUCUCACGAAGGGGUGAUUGACGCUGAGGCACGAAAGCGUGGGGAUCAAACAGGAUUAGAUACCCUGGUAGUCCACGCAGUAAACGAUGAUAACUAACCGCUGGGUCGUAGUGAUUCAGUGGCCAAGCGAAAGCGAUAAGUUAUCCACCUGGGGAGUACGACCGCAAGGUUGAAACUCAAAUGAAUUGACGGGG